This is a long non-coding RNA of Carya illinoinensis, 1451 nucleotides long. RefSeq lists it as uncharacterized. The record is from RefSeq and is a predicted model, not a curated record. NCBI's taxonomy places the organism in Eukaryota, Viridiplantae, Streptophyta, Magnoliopsida, Fagales, Juglandaceae. The transcript has 5 exons.
UUUAAUUUUAAGCAACUUUCCCUGUGGAUUCGAUCCUGUAAGAUACUACAACGCCUGUAUACUUGCAGGUAAAACUGCACUAGAUUUUUGAUUCAUUAAUUUGAGUCAAAGUUUAGUCGCAACAGCCAGCGUAUGUGAGGAACAAAUUUUGGGCAGGAAUGUCAAGUACCCAAAGAAGCAAGGGGAUGAAUGCGUUCUUUGAUGAUUAUUUAAAUUCAAAGACAACACUAAAACAGUUUGUAGAUCAGUAUGAUAAUGCACUUAGGCGCAAGAUUGAAAAUGAGCUUGCAGCUGACUUCAACUCAUUCCACACACAAAUUCCGUGCAUAACUUUUUAUGGCAUUGAGUGGCAGUUCCAAGCAGUGUAUACAAAUGUAAAUUUUAAAGAAGUUCAAGAAGAGUUAAGAGGGUUGAUUUAUUGUUGCGCAUAAAUGAUUCGAAGUGAAAGAGGGAUGUUUACAUAUCAUGUGGCCGACGAGAUCCAAGGUAUGGAUGGGUUUAGGAAAAGUACAAAAUAUGUUGUUGAGUUUAACGAGGAAGAGUGUGAAGCGAGUUGCACAUGUCAGUUAUUUGCUUUUAAGGGAAUUUUGUGUAGACAUGUCAUCCGUGUGUUGACACUCCAUAACAAAGAAGAGCUACCUGCAAAAUACUUUCUUGAUAGGUGGAGGAAGGACAUGAAACGACAUUACACGUUUGCAAAGUUAAUGACUCAGUUAAGUAAGUUGAAGUUAGAGUGGGUUGACGUCCAGCCAGUGUGUGAUAAUCAUUCAAUGGAGUCAUUAAGGGUGACAAAAGGGUCUGAUAAAUUAAAAAGUCAAGCAGCUGCACGUAGUAAAGGUAGGUCAAUUUCUAAGAGGAAACAGUCCAAGGCUGAGAAGGCAGUGAAUAGGUUGAAAGCAAGGAAGACUCAACGAGCUCAGUAGAAUAGGCGCAUAAAUAGAACAGUUGUAGGAGAUUUUGGCUCACCUAGCUUGGCGGAGCGUGACUUUCCUAUAGCCUCGACUGCUCAAUCGACUGUGGUACAACCAUCUUUUCAACUUUUAGACGAUGAUAUCUCUUAUUGUACUCCUACAUAUCAAGAUGUAGACGUCGAUAUCCGUUUGGGAUUGUAGAUCAAUUCUUUAGCUAUAUUGGCCAAGCCCUAAUAUGGCAGACUAAGUAUAAGAUACAAGUUAAUUGGGAGAUGAAAGCAGCUAAAGGAAAGGAACUUUGACAAGGCAAAGCUAGAGUGUUGAUUUUGGGAGUCUGGGACUCCAAAUUAUUUUGAGUAUUUGUAACAAUUUAGUGAAAAUUUGAGUAUAACCAAUCACUUGAAAAAUUAACCAUUUUGUAACUAUGCUUUUAAUGUUGAUAAUGUUAUACUAACAAUUAUAUAUUAUUGCUGAUGUUAUCUGCAUAUGAUUGCAUUGCAUGAUAUGCAAUAGUGCAUGUACUCACCCAAAAGAAAUUUA